Molecule: ribosomal RNA, 489 nt
Filed under: Triticum aestivum (bread wheat)
Lineage: Eukaryota; Viridiplantae; Streptophyta; Magnoliopsida; Poales; Poaceae
Description: partial small subunit ribosomal RNA
Source: RNAcentral
AUGCAAUAUAUUUUCCCUGCAAUAUAUAUAGGUUCUGGAAUCAUGCAGUACAAUGUGGCCGAGCUGGAGCUGUCAUGGAUCAACGCGCCUUCUGAAUUACCCAAACGCAGUGACUUUUGCCUUGUCAAGACAGAAGAUGGCAACCUGGGGUUUGUCAGCUACGACGCCGGUGGCCGUAUGUACAUGUGGAAAAGGGUAUUUGAUGCCAACGGAGCUGGGGAAUGGGCUCAACGCAGUGCCAUCAGUGAGCUGCUCCCUACUCGUGCCCUACCACCUUACCGCCGAUUCAUGGACGGUGCCAGAGUCGCUCUGUUCAGAACAUGCUCUGAAUUGCUUAUGGUUGAUCUCAGAUCACAUCGAGUCAGGAAGGUAAGCAUCGAGGGGUGCGAAGUCGAUAAGGUCAUUCCCUACAUGAGCUUUUACCGAAAAAGGCUUUCGCCCCGCUUUAUAAAUAAAGCAAACCGUCAAGAGCACACAUACACGGACUAG